Molecule: ribosomal RNA, 482 nt
Filed under: uncultured bacterium
Lineage: Bacteria
Description: bacterial SSU rRNA
Rfam family: Bacterial small subunit ribosomal RNA
Source: RNAcentral
CUACGUGCCAGCAGCCGCGGUAAUACGGAAGGUCCGGGCGUUAUCCGGAUUUAUUGGGUUUAAAGGGAGCGUAGGCCGGGGAUUAAGUGUGUUGUGAAAUGUAGACGCUCAACGUCUGACUUGCAGCGCAUACUGGUUUCCUUGAGUACGCACAACGUUGGCGGAAUUCGUCGUGUAGCGGUGAAAUGCUUAGAUAUGACGAAGAACUCCGAUUGCGAAGGCAGCUGACGGGAGCGCAACUGACGCUUAAGCUCGAAGGUGCGGGUAUCGAACAGGAUUAGAUACCCUGGUAGUCCGCACAGUAAACGAUGGAUGCCCGCUGUUGGUACCUGGUAUCAGCGGCUAAGCGAAAGCAUUAAGCAUCCCACCUGGGGAGUACGCCGGCAACGGUGAAACUCAAAGGAAUUGACGGGGGCCCGCACAAGCGGAGGAACAUGUGGUUUAAUUCGAUGAUACGCGAGGAACCUUACCCGGGCUUGAAU